CACCGCGGUUAUACGAAGAGGCUCAAAUUGAUAUUCCACGGCGUAAAGCGUGAUUAGGAGAAACGAAAACUAAAGCUAAAUACCCCCUAGCUGUCAUACGCUCAAAAAGGCACGAAGCCCCACAACGAAAGUAGCUUUAACCCAAGACCCUGAACUCACGAAAAUUAAGGAA
This 172-nucleotide ribosomal RNA is filed under the name Cirrhimuraena playfairii. RNAcentral describes it as "partial 12S ribosomal RNA". Lineage: Eukaryota; Metazoa; Chordata; Actinopteri; Anguilliformes; Ophichthidae. The record is from RNAcentral.